AUGGCGUUGGCGGUGGUGGCGAAUGUGGCCGCGGUGGCACAGCUCAUCGAGCAGGUGACCGGCAUUGUCUCCAGGAUCAUUCGGGCGGUGGCGACGGCACGCCAGAACAAGCAGGAGUGCGAGCACCUCGCGCUCCGCCUCUCCAUCAUCGGCGACGUGCUGCCUCACCUCCCGCGGCUCCCGGUGGUGGAGCGGCCACUCAAGGAGCUGCGCGCGGCGCUGGGCAAGGCGCACGAGAUCGUCCUCGCCUGCCAGGAUCGGAGCGCCGCCAACCAGUUCUUCGGCGCCCGCCGCCACGCCGAUAGCUUCAGGGAGGUCAAUGACAGGAUCUACUUCCUUCUCAGCCUCUUCCCCAUGGUCAACUAUGCCGCCAUCACCACCCAUCUUGCUCGAAUCAGUACCCAGCACAUGAUCACCGUGCCAUCGCCGGGCUCUAGCUCUGGCUCCCUGCAGACUCUGACGGUGGUGCCCGAUUACCCCUGCAUGUUCACGUGGGCGGAGAUUGUAACGGCGACCCACAACUUUGCUGACAAGCUCGGCCGAGGUUGCUCGGUGACGGUGUACAAGGGCCGUCUCCACGACGGCCCGGAGGUGGCCGUUAAGGUGCUGGACAAGCACAGGCCGCAUGACACGUUCGUGCCGGAGCUCGUGAUCACCUUCCGCCUCCGCCACGACCACAUCGUGCGCCUGGUCGGCUGGUGCGAGGAGGAGGACGACCGCAUGUUCGUCUACGAGCAUAUGAGCAACGGCACGCUUAGAGACCGCCUGCAGCGCGCCAGCGGUGGCUCUAGCUCGUCGGCAGCGACGGCGCCCUGGAGGACCCGCGUCGCCGCGCUGCUGGGCGCGUCCCGGGCCAUCCAGUACUUGCACUGCGGCGCGGAGCCAGUGGUCAUCCACCGCAACGUGAGCUCGUCCAACAUCCUCCUAGACAUGAACUGGAUGCCGCGCCUGUCCGGCUUCGGCGCGGCGGUGUAUCAAGCGGCGGGCGAGGAGCACGGUGGCCAGCUCGUUGAGGAGGUCAUCGGCACGCCCGGGUACGUCGACCCGGAGUACAUACGCACGAAGCGCGUGAGCACGGCGAGCGACGUGUACAGCUUCGGGGUGGUGAUGCUAGAGGCGCUGAUGGGCGAGGAUCCGGCCGCCCUGCAGCUGGACUCCAUACGAAACGGGAAGUUAGCGCUGAAGGAUGUGCUGGACCGUCGGCCGUCGCUGGACCCGACGCUGCCGCAGAUGGAGGCGCUGGAGAUCGUGGCAGACACGGUGAAGCGCUGCCUCUGCCUGUCGCGGAUGGACCGGCCGGCCAUGUCCAAGGUCGUGGCCAACCUCGAGGAGGCACUCCAAAUGAUACGCAGCCAUGAGCCAAUGUCCAUGGCACGCUGGAGCCUCAUUCGACGAAGAACCAGUGAGAAUUAA
Molecule: ribosomal RNA, 1413 nt
Filed under: Triticum aestivum (bread wheat)
Lineage: Eukaryota; Viridiplantae; Streptophyta; Magnoliopsida; Poales; Poaceae
Description: partial small subunit ribosomal RNA
Source: RNAcentral